GGGGUUGUGGCGCAGUGGUAGCGCAUAUGCUUUGCAUGCAUGGGGUCGUCGGUUCGAACCCGGCCAACUCCA
This 72-nucleotide transfer RNA is filed under the name Pyricularia oryzae 70-15. Its description in RNAcentral is "tRNA-Ala (TGC) (tRNA-Ala-TGC-3-1)". It matches the Rfam family "tRNA". Rfam says of the family: Transfer RNA (tRNA) molecules are approximately 80 nucleotides in length. Their secondary structure includes four short double-helical elements and three loops (D, anti-codon, and T loops). Further hydrogen bonds mediate the characteristic L-shaped molecular structure. tRNAs have two regions of fundamental functional importance: the anti-codon, which is responsible for specific mRNA codon recognition, and the 3' end, to which the tRNAs corresponding amino acid is attached (by aminoacyl-tRNA synthetases). tRNAs cope with the degeneracy of the genetic code in two manners: having more than one tRNA (with a specific anti-codon) for a particular amino acid; and 'wobble' base-pairing, i.e. permitting non-standard base-pairing at the 3rd anti-codon position. The record is from RNAcentral. RNAcentral also lists the same sequence under 4 other names. Lineage: Eukaryota; Fungi; Ascomycota; Sordariomycetes; Magnaporthales; Pyriculariaceae.